UUCCUUUUAGCUUAAUAUAAAAGUAUCAGUUUGAAGGUCUGGAGAUAUCAUUAUGUGUUAGAGG
RNAcentral lists this transfer RNA (64 nucleotides) under Trichobilharzia szidati. RNAcentral describes it as "tRNA-Phe". The record is from RNAcentral. Lineage: Eukaryota; Metazoa; Platyhelminthes; Trematoda; Strigeidida; Schistosomatidae.